This 1309-nucleotide long non-coding RNA is filed under the name Citrus sinensis (sweet orange). RNAcentral's name for it is "long non-coding RNA (CSIN_LNC005283)". The record is from RNAcentral. Lineage: Eukaryota; Viridiplantae; Streptophyta; Magnoliopsida; Sapindales; Rutaceae.
UAAAACUCAAAACAAUCAUCUAUCCCUGUUAUACAACUCUCGAUUCUAUGAAAUUACUGAAAUACCCCUACCUCUAGAAAUUGCUAAAACACUCCUAAAACAUAAAUUACCCCUGAAAUGACGAAUUACUAAACUGCCCUCAAUGAUAGCGGGGAUGUAGUCGUCGACUCUCAUGCUUCUGAUUGGUACCUCCCUUGGCCGGUAAGGUUACUGGAAAAUAAAGAUAACGGCAGGUCAGGUUCAUGGGUUAUCAGGUCAGUUUCAGGUCGAGUUUGAUAGCUUUCUCUCUGUCCCCCCUCAUUCUCAAUUUAUAGAAUUGAUUCCUUCUUAUUUUUUUUUAAAGCAUAAUACAAAUUAGGCUAAUGGUUGUGCUCGGGUUUUCUUGAUUCGUUUCAUGACGAGUUUAAACAAAUUCAAACACAGCCCAUUCAUUAAACAAAUAAAAUUUAAUCAUCCACACCCAUAAUUAAUGUUAGAUAAUUGAGUUGCAUCAACUUCGCCAAUAACAAUUUGUAAUAAGUCCGACAACUUUAAAAUUAAUGUCAAAGAGAAAAAAUUAAUAAUACACAAAUAGAAAAAUUAAAGUGCAUAUGUUACAAAGGUUUUGGUCCAUUGUCCUUAGUUACCGUUAUUGGUAUAACCAAACAACUAUUUGUGUUGUGCACACCUAUUGAUGAUUAUUAUGGGCUAAAGUACUCUGAUUGAAUUAUUCACAGGGCCACUGAGAUUACAAGUGAUUUAUUGAAUUACUGGCCAGGUCAUCAGGAUUACAGAUGACAUAUUGAACUACUAGCUAGGUCACCAAGGGUACAAGUGACUUAUUAAACUACUGGCGGGGUCACCAGGAGCAUGACAUACCAGGAGUAUAAGUGGCACUAUGUAACAUUAAAAAAAAUGAACAAAUGAAAGGUUUAUUGAUAAAUAAUUUCUUAAAUGAUUAUUUAUUGAAAACGAUUAUUACACUAUGACUUAACUGAUUAUGAGUUUUGUCAUAUGUAUAUGUUAGAUAUAAAAUGAUCACAAGUUUCUAAUUUAUGGUACUUCAUAAUGAUUAUUAUGUAUUUUAUUGUUAUUAGUAAUCUUAUACAUGAGUUUGCUUACCGAAUUGAUGGCUCACCCCUCAUCUCCAACAUUUUUGCAAAUUGAUUUUAGAAAUGUGGGCCUUCGAGUUUAGAGAAGAGAAUUUAUUAGCUGAAAACUUUGGCGUUUCUUGAUGAAUAAUUUGUAGCUACUUUGGUUAUUCCUUAGAGGCGGAUUUUGUUUUGGAGGAUUAUUGUAUUAUUUAUUGUUUUUGAGACUAUGCUUUGAC